GAAUUCAGAACGAAUAUUGAGCCAGAGAGAGUGAAAGCCUCGUCAAUUUAGAUAUAUCUUGAAAAGAAUAUGGUUUAGAAAAGAGUAAAUUUAUUUGGAAGUAUAAAUCGAAAAGGUGAUAGUAUUCAUCAAAGUCUAAAUAUUACAGGAAAACUGAUAGCAAAGAAGUACUGUGAAGGAAAACUUAAAAGAACUUUGGAAAAAGAGUGAAAAGAGCU
This 218-nucleotide ribosomal RNA is filed under the name Entamoeba histolytica. Its description in RNAcentral is "partial 25S ribosomal RNA". It matches the Rfam family "Eukaryotic large subunit ribosomal RNA", at positions 182 to 399 of the family's 3401-position model. Lineage: Eukaryota; Evosea; Mastigamoebida; Endamoebidae. The record is from RNAcentral.